Molecule: ribosomal RNA, 2704 nt
Filed under: Triticum aestivum (bread wheat)
Lineage: Eukaryota; Viridiplantae; Streptophyta; Magnoliopsida; Poales; Poaceae
Description: partial small subunit ribosomal RNA
Source: RNAcentral
CGAGAUGUCUUGUAGGCUGCGGGUGCGGGGUUUGGAGAGAGGCGAGGCGAGGAGAGGGGUGGCGGUGGCGGUGGUGGUGGUGAGGCCACACUCGAUCGUGCUAGGAGCCGAGAGAGCGCCUCUCCUGCCCACGGGCUUUGGGACCGGGCUAGGGCAUCUUGGGGAUCUGCGCCUCCAGGACUGCGCCCCCUCACUCUCACCCUCGCCCCCCUCCUGCUUCCGCGCCCCUCCGCCUCCGGACACGACAUACAGUCUAGCACCCUAGGCCGCUCCGCCUCUGCCGCCUCCUCUGAUGCCUGUGCCAGUCGAGCGCUUGGGCGAGGUUACCGGAGUCGAGUCCUUUUCCGCCGCGAGACGACGCCCCCGGGGCGCGCGCUACGGGGGUCCCGCCGCUAGCGGCGCGGGCCCUUCCAGAGGUACAGGCGCCGGCCGCCACCGCCACUCGCGCAGCAGAGGCGACGGCCCCCGCCGCGGCACUACCUGCUGUAGCGCAGGCGCCGGGUCGGGUGAUGGCGGUUCCGGAGGAGAUUUCCCUAUGGGUAUUACUGCUCUCGAGUUUCUAAGGUGGGAAACCUGGGUAAUAGACGACGGCUUUAACGUCACCGACAACGUUGACAUUCUCGGCGACCUUUUAGAGGACUCCUUGCACUGUCGUACGCAAAACAACUUCGACACGACGACCUUGGUCUUUUCUUACAACAUCGUAAUCGGCUACGGAUAAAAAAGGGCGGUAAGGUUGGUAGUGACGAGGGAUCUUGGUUUCCGAGACGGCAGUAAGGCUCGUCCAACGGAGGGUCCUCCCGGUUCGAACAACAGAUGUUAUCUGUAAGUUUACUCUGAUGGUAAACCUAUCAUCUUGAUAGACUUCACGUACGUCGAUGAUCUCCACCUGUAGUGUCUCCCUUCCACUAUAGUAGACUUCAACAAGGUCUACAUGUCGGACGUUACCUACGAUACCUUAUACGACUCACACUUCGAUGACAGUUUUUAAUAGGAGGUAAACAACUUCGAUACUUCUUUUCUCCACACCUGCUGUACCUUGAACAGUACCAUCUACGGACCACACGACCGAUGAUGUCACUACGACUACGAGGGUCAGCGUCUGAACGGUCCGGAGAUUAGAAAACGGCUUGACUCUCACUAUCAGGGUACCUCUUACCAAUACGAGCAGGACACCUUCCCUAGGUACAACAACAACUAUACGUCUUAUUAUAACAGUAUCUCAAACUUCUGUCCUUCAAACAAGGAGACGGAGGUGGUCUAGUAAACUCUUUGAUGUGAGGACCUCUUUGAUCUCCACCACAACUAGCUUCACUACACUUUGGAGAAUAAUAGUUAGUCGGACUCCCGGGUUCGAAGGCAUAAUUACCGAUAAAACACCUUACCGUCUUCACCUUAAAGGCAUAACCGAAGUGGGGAUUUCUCCCAAACCAGUAGAUAAGACAACGUAUACAACUACCAUCGGCACCCGCAUCUGGAUAUCGAGUAUCCGACUCGAAACAACUCUACCAACAAGGAAUACCUCUAGGUUCACUUGGUGUAAUAGCGUUCUUACGAAAACUACGACCUCUUCUACCUGAACCGUUUUUACGAGUAAGAGAAUUCUUCCCCACACUGACGAACCCAAUGUAGUUCAUAAAACUACGUGUGAAGUGCUUGAAAUGGCCAGUACACCUCUGUUAACUCUUGACACACACAGACGUGCUCCUCCUGGUACCUUAGGAAACCUUUGUGGUUCUGACCUCUUGACCAAAUCGUCUUCAAUCCGCUAGUUCCUCCGAGUGCCACAGUAAAUAGACGUGUCAACGGUUGAUACUUAUACCAAAAAUGACCGUGAAAAUAGUCCACCAACUUCAUUUACAGUUUCAGCUUUCACGUCCGUGUUUAUUACACGUGUUGUUACGAAAGAUACGACUUCUUUUCUAUGACUUUAGGCUCAACGUUCGUUACUCUCUAACACUGGGAAGUAGACGCGCUGUAACCUAACAAUCCUUGUGCUCCCGACAUUUAGCAUGGCCUGUUGGUUGACCAAAGUCUGAGCACGGACCAAGUUUGACAAACGGUAAACGAGACGGGCUCCGUUUCAAAGAAGCUUCUCGGCCCAAGGAUUUCGUGUUAGAAACCCACUGUGGUAUGUUCUCACUACUCUUCAAAGGACCUCCCCUCAAGGGGUUGGUCUUAGGUGCAGAAGUGCUCCCAAAUCGAUGAACCCACUUCUUCCUAUCUGGGAACCUCCUUUGACUGUAGCAAGAGACCAUACAUAAACCCGAGUGGGUGUAGGGUUCCGACCUUCUAACCGGCCAGUACGGCCACCUUGUGUAGCCGAAGUACGAGUACGGUGUACCUAAGAAGUUGACGAGCGGACGACAACUACACGGAGGACCGUGAAGACUACGGCGGCUACAGUUCCUUCGUCUCAGCGGAUUCCGGUAGGUCUUGCCCCGGGAACAAAGGUUCGAGAUUCGAACCGUCGAGAGGAGUUUUCUUCUUUGACCGUUAUUUUCAACAAUAGAGCACCAGACAAAGCAAAAGACAUUAUUAUACAAACAAACGACGUGACUAACUAACACUUACAACUCGACGUGUUCAUCGUAGAUUAUUAGAGACCUGACCGUAUUACGGACGUAUUUAUUUACACACAACGGUACGGAAGAAAACCCCGGUUACUAAUAGUACAAUAGUUAGUAAAAAAUGACCUGACCGC